GCAAGAUUAAAACUCAAAGGAAUAGACGGGGACCCGCACAAGCGGUGGGGCAUGUGGUUUAAUUCGACGAUACGCGAAGAACCUUACCUGGCCUUGACAUAGACAGAAGUUUGCAGAGACGCAGAUGUGCUAGUUUACUAGAACUGUCAUACAGGUGCUGCACGGCUGUCGUCAGCUCGUGUCGUGAGAUGUUGGGUUAAGUCCCGCAACGAGCGCAACCCUCGUGUUUAGUUACUAACAGUUCGGCUGAGGACUCUAAACAGACUGCCUGGGUAACCAGGAGGAAGGUGAGGACGACGUCAAGUCAUCAUGGCCCUUACGGCCAGGGCUACACACGUGCUACAAUGGGGUAUACAAAGAGCUGCAAUACGGUGACGUGGAGCAAAUCUCAUAAAAUAUCUCCCAGUUCGGAUUGAAGUCUGCAACUCGACUUCAUGAAGUUGGAAUCGCUAGUAAUCGUAGAUCAGCAAUGCUACGGUGAAUACGUUCCCGGGUCUUGUACUCACCGCCCGUCACACCAUGGGAAUUGAAUUCAUUCGAAGCGGGGAUGCUAAAAUAGCUACCUUCCACAGUGGAUUUAGUAACUAGGGUGAAGUCGUAACAAGGUA
This 608-nucleotide ribosomal RNA is filed under the name uncultured bacterium. RNAcentral describes it as "bacterial SSU rRNA". It matches the Rfam family "Bacterial small subunit ribosomal RNA", at positions 888 to 1498 of the family's 1533-position model. The record is from RNAcentral.